This 427-nucleotide ribosomal RNA is filed under the name uncultured Pseudomonas sp. Its description in RNAcentral is "bacterial SSU rRNA". It matches the Rfam family "Bacterial small subunit ribosomal RNA", at positions 355 to 774 of the family's 1533-position model. The record is from RNAcentral. Lineage: Bacteria; Pseudomonadati; Pseudomonadota; Gammaproteobacteria; Pseudomonadales; Pseudomonadaceae.
UGGGGAAUAUUGGACAAUGGGCGAAAGCCUGAUCCAGCCAUGCCGCGUGUGUGAAGAAGGUCUUCGGAUUGUAAAGCACUUUAAGUUGGGAGGAAGGGCAUUAACCUAAUACGUUAGUGUUUUGACGUUACCGACAGAAUAAGCACCGGCUAACUCUGUGCCAGCAGCCGCGGUAAUACAGAGGGUGCAAGCGUUAAUCGGAAUUACUGGGCGUAAAGCGCGCGUAGGUGGUUUGUUAAGUUGGAUGUGAAAGCCCCGGGCUCAACCUGGGAACUGCAUUCAAAACUGACAAGCUAGAGUAUGGUAGAGGGUGGUGGAAUUUCCUGUGUAGCGGUGAAAUGCGUAGAUAUAGGAAGGAACACCAGUUGCGAAGGCGACCACCUGGACUGAUACUGACACUGAGGUGCGAAAGCGUGGGGAGCAAACA